RNAcentral lists this non-coding RNA (26 nucleotides) under Homo sapiens (human). The record is from RNAcentral. Lineage: Eukaryota; Metazoa; Chordata; Mammalia; Primates; Hominidae.
UCUUCCUGCAGGUGGAGAUGAAGAGC